This 401-nucleotide ribosomal RNA is filed under the name uncultured fungus. Its description in RNAcentral is "eukaryotic LSU rRNA". The stretch from base 1 to 105 matches the Rfam family "5.8S ribosomal RNA", at positions 50 to 154 of the family's 154-position model. Lineage: Eukaryota; Fungi. The record is from RNAcentral.
GAAAUGCGAUAAGUAAUGUGAAUUGCAGAUUUCAGUGAAUCAUCGAAUCUUUGAACGCACCUUGCACUCCUUGGUAUUCCGAGGAGUACGCCUGUUUGAGUGUCAUUAAAUUCUCAAAUCUUUAAUUGUUGUAAUGACGAUUGAAGACUUUGGAUGUGGGAGUCUUUUGCUGGCUUUUAUUAGUUCAGCUCUCCUUAAAUGCAUUAGUGGUUACUGUUCUUCCACUUUGGUGUGAUAAUUAUCUACGCCUACAAGUGAAGAUGUUAAGUGUAGCUGCCUUCAAACCGUCCAAGUUUUAUUGGACAACUUUGAACUGUUUGACCUCAAAUCAGGUGGGAUUACCCGCUGAACUUAAGCAUAUCAAUAAGCGGAGGAAAAGAACUAACAAGGAUUCCCCUAGU